GAAAUAUUAUUAAAAGCUUCUAACUUUUCCCAAAGCAUUAAAUGUUUAUAUUUCU
This 55-nucleotide transfer RNA is filed under the name Mengenilla moldrzyki. RNAcentral describes it as "tRNA-Ser". The record is from RNAcentral. Lineage: Eukaryota; Metazoa; Arthropoda; Insecta; Strepsiptera; Mengenillidae.